UUAGUUACCUGGCAGUGGAGAGACCACGACCAGAAGGUGAUUCUCCCAGGGCAAAACACAUCAUGCGCUCAUAUUUGUGAUUUCCCCAGAUGCAGCAAACUCAGUCAUAUUUUUUGUGAUAGCGGGGUUCUGUGUUUGAGCUCUCCCUUG
RNAcentral lists this small nuclear RNA (150 nucleotides) under Struthio camelus australis. Its description in RNAcentral is "U1 spliceosomal RNA (ENSSCUG00000007821.1)". It matches the Rfam family "U1 spliceosomal RNA". From Rfam's summary of the family: U1 is a small nuclear RNA (snRNA) component of the spliceosome (involved in pre-mRNA splicing). Its 5' end forms complementary base pairs with the 5' splice junction, thus defining the 5' donor site of an intron. The record is from RNAcentral. Lineage: Eukaryota; Metazoa; Chordata; Aves; Struthioniformes; Struthionidae.